Molecule: unclassified non-coding RNA, 215 nt
Filed under: Hevea brasiliensis (rubber tree)
Lineage: Eukaryota; Viridiplantae; Streptophyta; Magnoliopsida; Malpighiales; Euphorbiaceae
Source: RNAcentral
CAUGAAUCAAGUUGGAACUUCAAAGCCUGCGGAUAGAGGGCCUUGGAUGUCUGGCCCUCCAGAAAAUCCUACACUUCCACAGCAACUAUCCGGACCACCACCAAUACCAUCAGUCCCUAGUCAGAUGGGCCCUAAUAAUCAACCUCGUCCUGCACCACCGUUGAGUCAGGAGAUGGAGAAGAUGUUACUUCAACAAGUCAUGAGUCUCACACCAG